Non-coding RNA from Rhopilema esculentum, 37024 nucleotides. The record is from RefSeq and is a predicted model, not a curated record. NCBI's taxonomy places the organism in Eukaryota, Metazoa, Cnidaria, Scyphozoa, Rhizostomeae, Rhizostomatidae.
UUCAACAGAUACCACAUGGGAAAGAUAAAUAUUUUUUUCUUCUUUUUUUAAUAAAUCUAAUAUCAAUUAGUUUGAGGUUUGCGGUUCAAACUUUUUCACUUUACUUGGAUUUGGUUCACUGUCGGGGCUUUAUAAAUUAAGUAAGGGUGUUAGAGUUGAAACAAAAAUUUCAGGUUUUAAUUUAGGGGGCUUCAGCCCUCUAAGCCCUCCAUAAUUUCUGCCAGGAUGCAUUCUAUCUAAAGUCUACGCCAGACAUUGCACCAGAAGACCUCUGCACCUAGAUGUAGGAAGUGCACUCGGGGUGGGGUAAGGUUCGGUUAGGUGCAGGCUGUGGGGUAAGAUUAGGGCAAGGGUUAAGCUUGGGUAGUAAGGGUACUGGGUAUCUAUUCAGAUCCAAUAAUAGUGGAUCUAAUUGCCUUCCCUCCCAAACUACUUAAUUCCCAAACUCUACCCUAAUUAGCCAAAAAUAAAGAAACUUUCAGUAGUGAAAAAUAUCCUAAUUUCCUAUUUUCCUUUUUAACUGAAAAGUUCUUUAGAGCUUUGUAAAAAAUGAGGACAUGGUCCUCUAUUUCGCCAGCCCCAUGAAUUCAAUAACAAGUUAACCUCGCACCAAGGACGUGAAUGUUCCAACUUUACCUCUUUUUUCCUAAUCGUUCUCCGUUGAACUAGUCCUUCAUUGUCAUCAAGGGUCAUUACAUCGUAAACGAGUCCUCUGGAACCUGAAGGCCAUACUGCUCUCUGAUUCUCUUGUGCAUAGCACGGUAGCCUAAUAACUGAUCUGGACCAUCUUUUUCUGCAUUAAAUGCCUCACCCACUUGAUUUACAGUUGUAUCGUAGUCGACGAAUUUUAUUCCAAAAUGUUUCAUGCGCCUACUUGAUGUACCAGGGCUCCAAGCGUACUGAGAAAAAUCCCUUUGCAGAAAGUCAAGAAUUUCAGCUCUUCGCAAGUUUCUGGCAACCAUACAGCGAAUAAAUUUUUGGAGUUCGUUAUCCUCUGUCCAUUCGUUAUUUCUUUUAUAUUCUGCAGCCAUAUGGAGCAAAAUCUCCCUUUCUUGGCUACAUAAGCGAAAGGUAAUUUAUUUAGAAAAUCAAAAAGGGCGCGAAAAGCUGCAUGGAAAUAAUUUGAAAAAAUAAUUUAAUUAUAACGAAAUAACGAAAAAAUAAUUUGAAUUUAAUGUCAAAUUUACCACAAAUAUCUGUGAUUUUUUUAUAUUUCAUAAAAUAUGUUUCUGUUUUUUGAAUGAGAAUGCUGGGCCACCAUACAUUACACCAAACUUGCCUUUUUGAACUUAUUUUGAAACAGUUCAUCAGCACAGUGCUCAUCAGAGCUCUUUGCUGUAAGCAUGAGGUAAUGCUGCAUUCUUCUUUUUGCUGACGAUUUUAUUCUUUCUAAACAAACUAGUCUUCUAUGAUUCCUUCUUGAUAAAUAUUUUUUACUACCAGCGCAAUAAAUUUCAUUAAAAAAACUUGCUGCAAGUAAUCAUAGCCUACUAAAUUUUCUUGCCGGUCAGCCAUGUUGAAACUUUGAUCGAUUAAUCAAUUUGAACCACUUUGUAUGCACUAGCAAACUGGCCUGGGCUCUGCCCAACUUGCGUUCACACUGUGAAAAAGCCGCUUCAGUGUGAACAGAUGAUAGGCCUGGGCCAGGCCCAGGCUAGUAUUUCUUAGGCUAGUUUGGGUAGUGUGAACAUGGCUUAAGGGAGGUUAAUUGUUUCACUUAUGAGCUGUUUCAAUAUAUUUGCAUUUAUGCUAUUUAUGAAAAAGUACCCAAUAGGGACAUACCAUGGCUUUUUUAGUUUUGAAGCCAUUAAACAAGAGCAUUUGUUGCCAUUGUGUCUGGUGUGUCUGCCUUGAAGUUGCCAUAGUCAACAUUGUCAACAAAUUUAGAAUUCUUCUUAUCCCAUUCCAUUUGUUUUCUUAUAGCAAUUUCAUCGAGCAUUAGUACAGAGUCCUUGCCUGCUACAGAUUCAAAGGUUUUUUUUCAAAAAGCCUGGUUCACAGUCAAUGUUUAUAGACCAAGACCUUAUUGUUGCUGGGUGUGGCAUAUUAAAUGACUUUCUGAUGAACUUACAGGCUCUUGGACUAUAGAAUUGCAGAGAAAUGGCAAACUCUUUCAUUUCAUCAGAAUACCUGGAACAAGACACUUUUCCAAAAUUCUGUGCUUCAUUUCUGAAAAGCUCUGCUGUCAUAUGCCCGAAGUUGUCUGCCAAUGACUUCUGAUUUUCUUCAGAAAGCAAUUUAUACUUGUGAAGUUGGUCAUGACUCUUAAGUCUAGUUUACCUGAAGACUCUGAGUUUGGCAUGGAAAGAGGAUAGUGUUGCUAGCUGCUAGUUUUGGUAGGCCAGUUUCACAAAACUGCAUGGUGACCAAUUUGAUGAUCGACCAUUUAUUCGAUAGAUUUGGGAAUUUGUUGAGAAACAUUGACCAACCAAUGCUGUCCUCUAGACAGCUUCAGAUAUUUGCCAAUGUUGUUCACAAUAAAGGGGCUACACUGAAUAAUUGUUGGGGGUUCAUCGAUGGCACAGUCAGGCCUAUUUGUAGACUAAACCAAAACCAAAGAGCUGUCUACAAUGGUCACAAAAGGGUACAUGCCAUAAAUUUUCAGUCUGUUGUGUGUCCAAAUGGAAUAAUUGCCAAUCUUUUUGGCCCUGUUGAAGGCAGAAGGCAUGACAGUGCAAUGUUGCAAAUGUCCGGCCUCCUAGAUCAGUUAGAGUAGCAUUCUCAUUCGCCUGAAGAGGAGCCACUUUGUCUUUAUGGGGACCCUGCAUACCCUCAUAGGAUUCACCUUCAAUGUCCCUUCCCAAGAAGACCAGAUCAACUUGCAUUUAAUGAGUCGAUGAGCCAAGUUAGAAUUUCAGUUGAGUGGGUGUUUGGGGAUAUUAUUAAUUAUUUCAAAUUUGUUGACUUUAAGAAGAAUUUGAAAAUUGGUUUGAGUCCUGUAGGGAAAAUUUAUAUUGCUUGUGCUUUACUGAGAAAUGCAUUGACAUGUUUAUAUGGCAACAAUACAUCAACAUUUUUUGGUAUUGAGCCUCCUGCACUGCAAGAAUACUUUCAGUGAGCAAACAAUAAAAAAGCUUUUAUCAAAGCUCCCAAAACAGCUUUUUUUCAAAGCUACAAAAACAGCUUUUUUCAAAUCUACAAAAACAGCUUUUUUCAAAGCCACAAAAACAGCGUUUUUAAAAGUUACCAUAUUGCCAAGAAGUAUGAUAUUUCUUAGCACACACAAUUUUUGAAGGCUUCUCUCUAUGUUCAGAUGUAGAUAAGCAAGAUUAUAUACUCAUUUUAAAAAAUAUAAAGACAGUAGCUUGAAUAUAUCAAACAAACAUAUCUCAAACAAAGCAAAAAAGGCUAGAAAUAUGAAGAUCCAGAUGUUACUGGAAAUUAUAGCUGUUACUUAAGAAAUUUAGGUUAAAAGGAAUAAACCAGCCUAUUUUUUGAAAUUCUUUGGAAAAGAUUAAAGCAUGUUUCAUCCAACAUGUGAUAUUUCUUUAAAAAGUGGUUUAAUUGCCUCCUGAAAAAAACAUAUGGAAAAAUUUAUACACAGCAACCCCUCCUCCCCUCUCCAAUCAAAAAUUGAAGCCCUGUCUGAUUUAUUCUUUUUGUCAGCACAUCGGGCUAACUAGUCCCCAGACCUUUCCAGCUCAUCUCGACCUGUCGCGUCAUGUUUCGUAAACUCUCUAUUUACAGUCUUCCUUCAAGGUUCGAAGAUCUCAAUUAGUGCUAUCCGUGGUCUUUUCCCCACUUUUCUAAAGGUUCUUUCUCUUGCUCUCUACAAAAAAUUUCAAAACUUCUUUCUCCUGCAACCGUUCAAAUUGGACGAAGACUUUUCAAAUUCGACCAAGGCUUUUCAAAUUCGCUUUGCUUUCCACAAAGGAUUCAUUGGAUUUUUAGUUAGAAUGUAGCUAAUUAAUCUAGGAGCACUGCUGCUUGGAUUUCCUUUUCGAACUCAAAGCGCUUCUCGACAGUCUAUUUUGUGCUAUCGUCAGUCAUGCCGGGUGCUCUAGACAGACACAGACCUCAGGUGAGUCUUGCUAGGUUUUUAUAAACUUUUCAGCGUCAUUUUACUUUCCUUAUUCUCGAUUGAUUGAUUGAAACCCUAUUUGUUAUUAUUUUGUUUACAAGAGCGAUGUAAUCCAUGCUUUAAUGAUCUUGCUUUUUUGUUUUAGUGGCUACGUACACCCGCUGCUGCCUGUUUUUUUGGUUUGCGAUGGCUGCUGGCUGGCUGUUCCCCUUCUUCACUGGCAUCAGAAUCGGUUGCAUGCAAGUACAGAUCAAAGAUCGUUUCAAGCAAAAAUUAAGACACAGAUGUUAUUCUUGGACCUUCAAAACAAAAUUUAUGUCAUUUAUGCUGGUGUUACAUCUAACAAUGAAACAGCUGGACUAUGGAGAAGAGGACUCAAGUUAUAUGGAUUAGCUGUUGUCUGUUAAUUGUAUUUUGUUAAUUUGUUAUUAGAGUAAGAAUCUUUUCUGAUGCACAAAACUUUGGCUGUUAUCUUUCAAUUUCUCCGUGCUUGUUGCUGCAGUGUUUCAAAAGCUAAUUGUGACGAAGAUAUGAUACCUGGGCCUCAAAUGAAAAGAACUGUGUGAUAAUUUUAAUUCUUUGUUAUUUUAAAUCUCGAAAAGUCACUGGUGGGAGCAACCAAACGAACGAACUGGUGGGAGCAACCAAAAACAUGUUGCUGUCAAGCUUUAAAGUAGAGUUGAGAAGAAAGAACUGAGCUUUCAGAUUAGCCUGGAGAAAAUCGAAAGAGCCCCACGAGUCAUAGAGGAAUAAAUGAAAUGAUUAUAUGGAAAUUUAAACACUGAAACUAGAACAAACACGAGACUGAGGUAAACCAUUAAAAUAUAUAAACGAGGAACACGAAUAGACCUGGGCUUGCAAAUGUUUUGAAGCAACUUUCAAUUAACGGAAGCCUAGCUACCCUUCGAAGCCCGCCAUGCGGUAGUGUGCAUAGAUUACCCUUUGAAAAGACAAGAAUACUCCUGAAACCCCCACUUUGUGAUAGUAAAUAUAGCCUUGGUAAAGAAAAGAAUUUUGUUGAAGUCCCCAAUGAAUUCCAGGAAAUUAGCCUUGGUAAAGACAAGAAUUCUGUCCAAGCCCCCAAUGAAUUCUAGGAAUAUCUGCCACGGAAAGAAAAGACAACAAUGUCUAGCCUCUCCCUCAAAUUGAAUGGAUACACCCCAUAGGGGUCACGUGAUAAAAAGCAGCUUUCUCUGCUUAAAGAUUUUGGUAAAAAAUUUCACUCGCACUCCUUUGACUAUUGCUCUCUACCCCCUUUUAUUUAAGGCAACCCCCUUCCUAGCAUACGCAUGGAAUUAAGUGGAGAUAAGAACAACAUUGCAAUCUCUAGAUAUCGUAGUAUGCCUUCCGCCAACAAUUUAAAUGCCACCUAGACAGCUGACUAAACAAGAUACCUAAUCUCUCAUUUCGCAAGUUUCAUCAAGCAAUGGUAAAAACCAAGGUGUUAGAUUACCAUAAAUCACCUUACUGUGAUUCAACAGAGACAUCCCAAAGUUCCAACAAUUUUCGCAGAGUUUUUAUUGUGCAGUCGACAAAAGUGAAGACCACAUAAAUUUAAUUAUCAGAUUUGAGUACACAAAUUUAAUUAUCUAGUCAACUCGCUGGAAGGUCAGGCUUGUAAGGCACUGGAAGGAUUACAAAUCUGUGAAUAACUAAGAACAAUGAAAAGGCCAAAGUUCUCUAAAAGAAAGAUUUUGAAAGAAAAAACGUAUAAUCAGUGCUCACAUCCAAGCAUUGUUAAAGUUGAAAUCAUGUGAAAAUAAAAAGAUCACAGACCUCUGUGUGAUGUAUGACACAAUCAUGGUUCAUAUUCGUGGUUCAGAAAGUCUAGAAUGCCAGAAGACAUAGCCAGCCAAGUAUCGCAACAAACCUCAGAGGAUGUAUGGAGUGUCGAUGAGAUUAUGACCACCAUUCAACAAGAGAUCAAGGCAAGAGAUUGUAGCAAAAAAUGAUUGGGACAAAGAAAAGAUUAAAUGUUUGGAAACAACAGACUUAUGUACCACCAUAAUCCUUUCUGGCCAGGUUGGAGAGUCCCUCAAAGAAUAAGAAAUCAAUUCAGUGUUAUAUCUGCAGAGCCAUUCUUCAAACGAGUGCUAGUAGGUGACAGACCUUAGACAACGCAAGGCAAUUUUGCAAGCAGCAAUAGGAUUCCUCAGUCCAGUGGAUGUGUGCUUCAAUUGUUCAACUUGUGUUAAGAGCAUAAAACUUAGCAAACCCAUACAGUUUUGUUUACUGAUCAUUUUAAGAUUUGGAGUCACUCCCGGAAACACCCUAGUGAUGUCAUUAUGACGUCACAACUAUAAAAGACUUACCACUUUUGUAGGCUAGACUGGCUGUUUCUGUGUCAAUGACAACCAGAAUGCAAAAGUGACAACCAGAGGGUUGAAUAACAGUAGAAUGCCCAAUGGCAUCACCUGAUGACGUCAUAGCUUUGUUAACUUUGUCAUCAGGAUAAGGAAAACAGUUGAGUCAGACUAAUUAACUUAAUAAAACCUAAGUACUUUGAUAUUGGUGGUAUGAAAAACUUUUAAAGGAAUGCAUAUUGAAAAUGAUUUAAGUGUAAUGAAAUUGCUUUUGUAACUGAAAUUGAUCGAAUGUAAAUGUAUUUAAUUUGAAAGAACGAUUGUUACUUAACUAAUAUAGGUUAGUAGUCAUUUACAUGUCAGUAAUGCAUAGCGACAAUCCUAUUUACAGUCACCACUGCAGAAGCAAAGUGCUGUGCAUUCCAGUCCAGAUUUUUUUACAUUUACAAGAAUUUUUGCAACCUUUUUUACAAGCACAUGUAUGCGAAGAACAUCAACCACUUCUGGCAAACUGGUCCAUCAUGGUUGCCAUACACCUUCAUUGUAAUUCCACCCACAAUUCUCCGCACUAGCUGAUGACUUGACAGGAUUUAACAUUUGUUCCCAAGUAUUGGCUUGCAAGGCAGAUCUGCAAACAUGAUAAAGAAGUGAGGUAUGUGUUGGUAGAAUGAUUUCAAUGGCUCAGUUCUUUUAAGCAAAAAGAUCCAAUCGAACUGCACCUACUGACGAUAAUUCACUGGUGUGAUCGAUUAUUGCCAUAUCUUCAUCAGAUAUGAUCGAGGGAUUUCUUGCAACUGAAAGAAAAGAGGAAAAGACUGUGUGUCAGUCGGAGCAAUUUUCUAUGUUUUCAAUGCAGAUAUCUUUCCUUUUCCCGCAAACAAGGGAACUAUCACAGCCAUUAAAUGCAUGCAACAUGGUUAAUGCAAGGGUCCUUUGCUCACCUAAGAAUACAACUGGCUUGUUAACAUUGAUGUAUGCGAAGUAUUGCCGUAAUCCAAUCGCAAUGAUCAGCUGUAGGUCCCUUUGUCUUACUACAGCAGCGACCCCAAGAACUGCGACAUUUGUGUCAACUGUAUAUAUGAUUGCUCUAUCCAUUCCCUGUCCUUGCUUAGCAACUUGUAGGUGUAAAAAAAAUCCUGCUUUCAGCCUCCUUGUGGUUGCAUGGAUUGAUCAGAGAUGUGUCUCCUGUGGAGGCCAGCAUAAAGCAUUCUCUCUGAUUGUCAUGAUGACUGUCUUUCCUACAGGUCUCAGAUUUGCAUGAAUUAACGGUGUAAGGUAUUAAUAGAGUUCGGUCUUGUUGUCACUGUGGCACUUAUUGUUACAUAUUUUGUUUACCCUCUUCCAUAGUGAACUGGAUGUCUUUGUGCAAGCUCUGUAACAGAGCUAGUAUGUUUUCUGAAUUGUCUAUAUCAUGGUCCCAUAUUAGGAAACAAUUAUCGAGGUAUCGCCACCACCUAUCUGUAAAUUGUUUCUUUACUGUGAUCCCAUACUUCUCUUCAAUCUUGUUGUAUAAUUUUGUUUCUAAAUAUCCCAUAACCAGAGUUGCAUAAGUCGAACCCAUCUUUGUACCAUUGCAGUUCCCUGUACUUGUAUAUAGUUCUGAUUAUCAAAGCAAAAUGUGUUACAUUCCAAAACUAGGCAAAGAGCUUUAAUUAUGAAUUCUUUUGAUAUGUUUCUUUUGGUUUCGUUUGGAAAAUUGUCUAUCCAGUAAAUGAUAUUUUCUUUUCCUAGCUCGUUAUUGAUGUUUGUGGACAUAUUUGUCAUAUCAAAUGUCAUUAGAGAUUUGAAUAGGUAAUGAAUCUUUGUUAAAAUGUCAAUAUCGUCUCUGAUAUGCCUUCUUAUGUGUUGUACAUAUGGUUUUCAUAUUAUGUCUAGAAAGUCACUCAAUUUGCUUGUGACACAACAUGGGCCUGGUAUAAUUGGUCUGAAAAUUGAAUCGUAGGAUUUUUCUACUUCAACCUAUUCUGAUUUGGUUUGCUUUAUUAUAUGAUUUAUGUUGUGAACUCAAUAUUGCUUCGAAUGCAACAACUACUUGAACAGUCCCCGAAGCAAGAAAUAGACCUUUUUAAUUUUACCAUGCCGAAAUAAUCACUUAAAUCAUUACAACUCUACUCUCUAAUUUUACCACUAAGAAAAGGAUUCCCCCUUUACGGGCACACAGCCUCUAUUUAUACUGCUACUUAUCAUUACGUCACUUUACAAAAAUACCGACCGUGAUUGCAUCAUACUUGCGAGAUUACCAUAGAAUGUUCUAGAAAUUUCUACGCAUACUAAUUAUACCAUGAAUUAUAAUUACAAAGCAAUGUCAGCGGGGGAUAAAAAAAGGAAGUCUUAAACAAAAGAAGUGCAUACGUAUUGUCUCUAAAGAUUAUGUAAGUUUGCAUCACGUGACUUUGUGGCACUCAGUGACUCCGUCACAUUUAUUAUUCUGCUUUUGUGUUUUUUUGGUAGUCCGUACAGUUGGCUGGUUUUAUAAUUGAGCUUUGUUAAAUAUUUCACUUCUUUCUCGGACAGUUUGUUUGCGUGUGUGCGAGUUGGUUCUUCUAUUCUUUUGAGGAGUUGGCUGUAUAUAUUUUUUGCCAGUCUUUUGUAAGUUUCUUUAUCAUCUACUGUUAGUAUCAUUUUAUUUCUGUAGUAUUUAGAGUCCAUGAUUACACAUGCUCCAAUUUUAUCGCUUUGUUUAAUGACAAUAUUUUUUUUGUUUUUGAUCUAUUAUUCCUUUCUAUUCCAACUUGUUAAGAUUAUUUUGUAUUUUCUGCCUGGCAGCGGCAUGCUUUUUAGAAAGCCAGACUUUGAUCUUUAUAAAGAGACAAGUAUCGUCGGUCAGUCUUGAUAUUCAGAUCAAAUAUGGAAGUAUUAUAUUGCACCAAGCUGUCUGACAGAGCAGUCAAAUUGUCAAAGUAGGCCAGGGAGACAGAGGCAUGAGGAUGUUGACAGAUUGUGUAAUGGAACGUUGCUUUUUAUGCAGUCUGUAUUGGCAGGCCAGUUUCCUGAUUUGUAAAAGAAGAUUCGCGCUUUUUCAUCAGCUCUACAUUCAAUGCAAUAGCCCAAAAAGCCAUCACACAAUUUAUUCAGGAAGAAACACCUAAACAAAACCAGUAUACGAGGAACGAAAGCUGUUUUAAUUGAUACAAUAGAUUCAUGAGGAUAAAAAGCUUCAUAUCAACAUGAACUAUUGGAAAUAUAACAGGACAAUCAAGGACAUGGACAUGGAUUUUUUCAAAAAUUAUAAAUUUGUUCUUAUAUAUAUAGACCAAAAAAGGAUUUGAGAUUAUAUUAACAUUUCAACCUUUUCAACAUACUGGUAUAAAAAUAAUUUUUGUUUUGAAUCUGUAAGCUAUUACAAGGGCCUUGUCAGUUCCUUUAAGCUGUCAGAACUUUAACCUGCUAUAUUAAUGAAUAAUAGAUACAUGUUUGUAUUUAAAUACUUAGCUACAUUGAAUAAUAUACUGUAAAUAUAUAUACAAUCAGGCCAGUGAACUAGCUAGCAAAUUUGUAAUUUAAAUUGCACGUGAGAAAUUUUCUUAUAAAAGUAUCAUGAAACAACAAUCUAGAAAAUUUCUAGAAAAUCUGAAACAAAAUUUCUAGAAAAUACCUUUAUGUUGUUACUAGUUUGAAAUAAUAGCAAGAUAACAGGAUGCAUGUAAUCUCCAACCUUCAUCUACCAUUUUUUGCAAGAUCCUUUCUGCUGAUCCAUAAAAAAGUUUGUUACCUUUUUUAUGCCUAGAAUAAUAAUGUUAAUGCUAUAGCAAAUAUCAUCUAAGGAUAUUAAUUAGGUAACAUAAAGAUAAAUUCAAAUGAUACAGUCUAUGCUUAUAUGAACAUUGCUUUUAUGCUUAUUAACAGGCGACUGGCUGUUAGAAAUCUAACAUUUAGAGGAUAAAAUUUUUCUCAAAGCCUGGCAAAUUGCGUGUCACACCUUCUCCAAACCCCUCCAAACCUCUACACCCUGCAGUUUCGCCAAACAUUCAAAAUGGUAAAAUGAUAACAGGCAUCGUGGAGCGUUGAGAAAAGUGGGGGUCUAGAAAAGUUGGGGGGGCUAAGACCGAGAAAAAGACACUUUACUGGUAGUUUAUUGCUUAAUAUUUAGCAUUUCUGCUAAAGCCCCUCUCCCCAGCCCCCCUUCUCUGCGGUACCUGGAUAAGGAUGGAUUGUGAGCUUCCAUCUUGUGAAUGGGGUUUUUCUUCUAGUGCGGCAAGACAUAAAUUAUUAUUCACCUCCCUGGAGAUGAGACGACCAUAAGAAGUGCCUUCGGUCAGAAAUCUAUUCAUAUCUGAAAAUUCCUGAAGUAUUCAUCUUUGAAAAGCUUUAUGCGUUGCCAAGAUGAGGAUUUGCGUUCAGAUUGAUGUUUCCAUCUUUGAUUUGUUGAAUUACUAAUCCAUGUUGGCCGGAAGCCUUUGCUGGACAUCAACACAAUGAAGGAAAAUAAAUAAAACGAGAACUGAGAUUCCAACAUAAAUCGCCUCUUCCAAUCAUCUACUGAUUCGUGCGAAUUUCAGUGCGAAAAUAUUACAAUAGCGCAGAAUGUUAAAACAAUAGCCCUUUCACACGUCACAAAUGGCGUCACAGUUUUCUUUUAAACUACAAUGUUUUGAUACAGCAAAUGUUAAAUAUUCAAAAGUAGGAGUCAAAUUCAAUGCUGAAGUCUGGCCAGCUGAUGUCUCAUUUCGCCAGCCAAGCAGAUUGCAUGGUACCAAAUUCUGGAGAAGAGGGAGGCAAUAAGAUUCACAAAAAACAUCAAAACUACAUUUGAUGAACGACUUGAAUCAUUUCCUGUCAAUCAGGAAACUGAAAAGGCAGAAAAUGAAAAUUCUGAAGAAGAAAGAAAGAAAGAAAGAAAGAAAGAAAGAGCAAAGUCAAAAUCUCUGGUCAGGGAAGGAGACCUCAUUCCAGUUUUAGCCCCAGAAAGUAGGGAAGCAAAGUUUUCGUUGUUUCUUUGCACGAGCAAAUGCAAAAGGGGUGGAAGUAUCAAUGGAAAGUGACUUAGUCCAGAGGGACAGGGGGGUGCAUUACCACCUGACGAGGGACUUUAGCAGACUAACUUUUUCUAGCUCAGAUUUGGUGUAGAAUUCAAAUCUGGAUGUUGAUCAGGCAGGAGAGGGGGCUUUUCCGAAAUAUAGGGGGUUUUGUCCAAAAACUGGGAUGGAACCUGUGAAUAAGCUGUCAACGAUCACUCAAAAAGAAAUUGUACCCGACAAACUUUUUCUAGCUCAGUUAUUGGUCUAGAAUUCAAACCUGGAAGUUGAUCAGGCGGAAGAGGAGGCUUGCAGCUUGUGAAUAAGCUUUAAAUGACUACUUAGCUAAAGUAAGCUGCUUAGCUAAAGUAAAAAAUGUAUUCAACGAAUUGAAGGUUGAUGCUCCAGAUGUCUUAAUUGACCACGCGCAUCGAAUCGGUUGCCCAAGAAUGGCACAGGGAAAGAGAGUGCACCAAGUAUUGGUAAGAUUUACAACUUGGAGGCAUAGGACCAUGGUCUAUAGGGCCAGGAAAAAUUGUACCCAGUACAAGAUAAAAUUGGAUUUGACAAAGAAAAGGAUUGACACAAUAAGGAAGAUAAGCGAUUUGCUUACAAGGAAGAAGCUCGGUUUUGCAUUUGCAGAUGUUAACUGCCGUUUAUGCACGAAGAUUGGCAAGGAGUUUCAUUACAUAAAUAGUGAAGAAGAUCUGCAAGAUAUCAUUAGAGAAUAUGAAGAAAGAAGUGCUACUCGAAGUGUUACCAGAAAUGAUACUAGUAGGGUCACUGAAGAUCAGCAAGACGACCAUGAUGAUGAUGAAAAUGGUGUUGGUGCCAAUAAGAAUAAUUCUGGAUAAGUAGCUUUGUUACAGACCAUUUAUAUGAACCCUUUACUCCGUUAUUCUUUAAAUUUUGCUGAUGGUAAUUUUGGACACAUUUCACAGUAACACAAUACAAUUAUUAGUUUAGUUAAAUCACAAUCACCAGAUUACCUUUUUCAUGAAAUCCCUCCUGAACGUCAACCCAGUUACGGUCUUAGAUACCCUUGUGAUUAUGAAGUAAAAGUUGCUACAACUAAUCGUUUUUCUAACAGAUACUUUCAUAACACCUUGCUUGAGUGGAAUUUGCUUGAUGAAGAGAUUAAGAAAUCAACAUCCCUUUUUCAGUUUAAGAAAAAUUAUUUAAAAUGAUUAGACUGGAGGGUAAUCCUAUUUACAAUAUCUCUGAUAUUGAGGGCGUCCGAUUGCUCUCCAAGUUGCGUUCAAAGUUUAGUUUACUGAAUGAACUCAAAUUUAGACACAUUUUUGAUAGUCUCACUCCAUCAUGUCUUUUCUGGCUACGGCAGACACAGAAUAUUUAUAUGUAGUUAAUUUUGAGUUGUUUUUAUUUGUGAUAUAUAAAUCUAUUUAUAUUUUUUAAAUAUAUUUUUUCAAUAUCUGAUAGACUGAUUUUUUUUUAUUUUCCAUUAAAUUCUAAAGUAAUCUCAUUGAUAUUAAAAUCUUAUUGAUCAAAAAAUGAUUGUCAUUCCAGGACUGAGAAUAUCGCGCUUUGAUUUAUCUCAUGAAUAAAAUGAAUAUAUAUUUCCCAUACAGCCUGAACUAUACAAUGGGAUAGCGCGACCUUUCUCACUGGGUGGGGGAGGAUGUGGGAGAUGCAAAACAAAAUUUUACCAACAGAAUUUCUUCUGUUAUAUUUGGCAAAAUUUGCUUUCACAGUGACAACUUACCAAACAUGUCCGUAACACUGUGCAUAUUUUGAUGACAGAUCAGUUAGAAGAGAUAAGUAUAUACGAAUAAAUAACAUAGGGAAAUUUAAGUACAAUCAAAGUACUCAGAAAUUAUAACUGGUAUAAAAUAAGAACACUAUAUUGAGCAUAGCAUGUAUAAAUCAUCUACAAAUUUUUCAUCUGCUUACAUCAUCAAUUUUUUUGCAAGAAUUUUAGUGGCGAGUCAUAAAAGUCAACGUCGUUCAGAAACAAGGUUUUUAAGAUAAGUACAGAUUAGAAUCCUAAACAUUUGAGUGCUAGAUAGGAUACAUAUCGUAUUCCCUAUGACCAAAACUUGGUUCUCUGAUUUUUGAAGUCGCUUGGAAAAGAUGCAACACAGUUUUGUGAUACCCAGAGAAUGUUCCCUCAAGUUUUGGAGCUUUGGAGUUUAAAAAUUUUUUAAGAUAAUUGCUAAUGGAUUUCUACCAAUACUAGACCAUCUAAGUCAUUAGGCUAUCGUUUACAAAGGGUAGAUGAAAUAUCUGAUGUAUGUAGAUUUGAUGUCUGAUCUGAUGUAGAAAGGAGAACAAAAUUUCAAAGGUGCUUUGCAUUAGGGUCUUAUUUUCCUUGUUUUGAGUUCGGAACACCCACCUACAAUUUUGUCCAAAUCAAGGCAAUCUAAAACAUCAACUGCACAAGCUGAAAUCAUUUUUAGUCUCCUGAAACUAUGCUCAUUGCUAGCAACUGAAAUUGGAAUUGUUAGAGCGAGUUGGUAAGCUUUACCAAGAUAUGGGUAGAAUUUCCGUUUCCCUUGCAACAACAUGGCAGCUUCUCUCAAAUUUUUUGUUUUGCUGUUAGAAAUAUCUUCACCGACCUUUUCCAUUUCUGCCAAUAAUGCAUCUGGAUCUUUGAGGUCGUUGGGAAAGACAUCACACAACUGCUUGACUUGGCUUGCAUUACAUGUUUUUAUUUUAUCUGGCAGCAAGACUGUGACAGGAACAACAAUUUUUGACAAAUAAACAAUUAUUUCUUAAGUGUCAGAGGCUACUCUGUCAAUGACUUUAAACAUCUCUUGGACAUGAUGCAUUUCAAACAAAGGGGCCCUAAAAUUGUCUCUGUCCUCAUCAAUGCUCUUUCGUACCUUGCGGGGGCAAUGCUUCUUCAAAAACUCAUAAAGAGGGGCCAUGCCAGAGGGAACAUUUUUCCACUGCUGAUUUAAGAAUUGUGUCCAAACCAAUCUCAUCAUUUCGAAUGCGUAUUAUGUAUAUGGCAUAAUGCAUCAAGGCUGGAUAAAAUAUGUUGUUCAAUCUCUUGAACUUCAAGAACAAAUUGUUUUAUGGCCCAAGCAUGUGAUGUACGGUAUUUGCCACUUUAAAUGCUCACUUACUUUGGCCUGUGCUCCAUUAUAAGCUCCCGACAUCAAAGCAGUGGUAUUUUAGCACUAAAAGAGAACUUUUGCAAGAGAAAGCUGGAAGUCCUCUAACAUUGUGAUGACUUCGUAGCCACUUUUCCCUUUAAUUUGGGAAAUUUUCAUGAGCCUUUCAUUGAAUUCCUGUCGACAUACCAGAUGACUAAGGAAAUUUGAUCAGCAUGGCUUAUAUCAGAUGUCAUAUCUGCCAUGACUGCGUAAGCUCCACAUGAAAUUAUUUGGCUAACCAAAACUUUGCAAAUUUCCUCUCCAAGAACACCAAUAAAUUCAUUCUGUGACAUGGCACUGAAGUAGGCUACGUGAUAAGACCAGAAAUUGUUGGUUUUAAGCUAGAAGUCUAUAAACGAACCCAUCUUGUUUCAAGGAGUACUAACUGCACAAAAUUUCCUUUGGCAUCAUCUUCACCUCCAUGAAAUGCAAGGAACUAUCUUGACCAUUAUCGACUUCAAUCCACUAAGAGUGUUAUAACCUUUUGGUUUGGUGAUCACUCUUGGUCCUCCUUACUGACUUGCUGUUUUUUGGCAGCAGAUAUUGCUACAUUGACAUGACUUUCUUUACGCUGAAAGUUCUUUAAUCGAAUAAUCGCUAGUUUAUGUGGAACACUAGUGAAAUGAUCCGCCAGUUUAGCUUUCUUCUUCCAUCCACGGCUCUUCCUUUUUACCCCAACGAUUGACUCCCUCUGUAACCCAAUUGGUUUCAGAACGAUUGGAAUUUUCUCCAAAUAGGCUGCAUGCAAAGCAAAAUGCUCUAUCUAUACUUGGACUGUAUUCAAGAAAAGGUAAGUCUGUACCAAUUUUCAUUAAAAGAAUUUUGCUUUCCUUUUGAAAUUACUUCAUUAAUGCGAAAUUUGUCUAAUACUUGCCAGAAUGGCCCUUUGAAUAUGACGAAUUCCUUCUGCUGUGGCAACAAAUUUAUACCUCUCCCUUCUAAAGGAUCCCUUUCGAUAGCACAACUUGAACCGCUGUCUGAUCUUGAAAGAAUUUUUUCAAUAAUCAACUUGUAAUUUCCCAACGCCUCAUUCGCUAAAUGAUGAAGUUCACUAUAUCUUUCCUUGAUCCCCAACGCCAAUUUCUCUAUUUCCGAUAAAAAGACUUCCUCGCUAUAUCCAGUUAUCUGAAAGAAAGAUUGCAGAAUCUGACUUUCUUUUGCGAUCUCCAAAAUUGGUCCAAGCAUUGCGGCAAGCUCAAAAUCUUUUGUCGGUUGCUCUUUGCUGCUGUAGCUUUUAUCCUUAAAAUAUUAAUGAGAGCAUUGAAAAUCCGAAUAUGAAUCAACUAUGUUGUUUGAUUUUUCUCAUCAAAAUGAUAAGAAAGGUUACUUAAACUCAUUAGACUGAUUUUAACAAAUUUCCAUCCCAGUAGAAAGGUUAGGGUAGCGGAGAAGGGUAUUUUAUUUUUUUUUUCAUUGGUUAUAAAUUAUAUCUAAAUUACAUAUAUCAUGCGGGUACAACUAGUAAUGAUGUUAUGCGACCGGCACAGAGACAAUCUGAAGGGCAAAUCACUCCUGAAAAUAGUCUACGAGAUUAAUAAUCACUAGUGAUCAAUUUGUGAUUUUUGUGUGUGAUAAAUUAGAUUUUUUCGUGAUAAAAGUGCUUAAUUAGUGAUUAAUUUUUCAUCAUCUUAAAUUUAUUUACAGAUCCAAAAGUGCUCUCAAAUUAGCUUUUGUGCAAAAAACCCAGCUUGAACAUACCAAGAUGCAUAAACAAAGGAAAAUAUUCGCCAUAAGUCAAACUUAACAACAAUUUUUCAUAAAUCAAAUAACAACCUUUCCUGCCAGUUCGACAGAGAUUUUUGUAAUGUGCUACAUGGAAUUGAAAAAAAAAGUUGGAGCAUCCAUAACAACCGAUUCGUCGAUGGUAGCCAUAUAACUGUCAGCAGUGAGGUACUCACAUGUAAAUUCUAACUCAACCAUUUAAAAAGAAAAAAUCUGCCCCUUGAGACGUUUUCCAUCACUUCAAGAAAUCGUGGAGAAACCAGUUUACAACAACUCCAAUGUUUUUUACGGAAUCUUAAGACAAGUCCACAUAGUUAUUUGAAAAGUGUUUUGUCUUUUGUUUUCUGUCAAAUAUGAAAAUUGGACUACUCGCCUGAUUAGGUAUUUAUUGCAAUCCACUCUCUGAAAGAGGCGCUUCCAAAACAUUCACAGGCUCGGAUGUUCAUUCUGUGCACGUAUUUUGAACAAUUUAAUCUGUGAUAAAGUUUCUUCAUUGUUUCAUUGUAGAGUUUCGAUUUCGUCACUGGACAGUGUUGCUGUCUCAGACUGAUCCAGUUCUACAUUUUGUCCUUGCUGAUUUUCAGGAAAAUCAAUUUCAUCAUUAACCAAGCCAUCAUUUUCUCUAGGAUGUUGAAGGGCUUCUUUAACACUUCAGCUUAAGAAAUUAUUGAUCAUCGUAUGAAUCAAAGCAAAUAUUGCAUGAUUCAGCUAACUCUAUUGCACUUGACUUUGCAGCAAAAUUGGUCUCAGAAAUAUCUUCAAGCCUUGGAGUAGACACCAUAUCCAGACUUUCUUCGUUAGUCUGCAAGAGCCAUUUUUUCCCUCGCGAGAAAAUUAUUUCAUUGUAACUUGUAACUAGCAAAAGACAAAAUUGUAACUUGUGUUUUAUUUUGUUUUUUUUUUCUUUCUUUUUCUUAAGCUAUUAAUUCUGUUAAUUAAUUUAAUUUCAAAUUCCGUUAAAAUUCCUUGCAUUGUAAAAUUUCAAUUGUUGAGACAGUUUGAGUCAUUGCAUGAAGGAUUCUAAAUAAUUGUUCACAAUCUUGAGAGCACCAGAUUCCAAGUGCCUCCUGGGAAAAUACCCUGGAUUCAACAUUAUAAAAAGUUCAACAGCAUUGAGUGUUUACUUUAGUGCAUGUAUAAGCGUUGUUACUGAUAAAAAAGAAGGCAUCUUUUUGGCAUUGACUGUUCUCCAAAUCCUCAAGGAAAAAUUUGAUUUCCAAAAAUUUGCGUAAGCUACCUAAUGCAUGAAGUGACUUGUCAAAAAAGAACCUCGAAUAUCUGGCAUUAAUGAAAGAUAUUCUUGUCCCCUUCCAUUUGAGAGCAAAGUAAUUUGGCAAGUCAAUCAUCAACACGAGGCUCCAGCAAAAGUUCUAUGCUAGAAUAGUUUUGCUUAUCCCUGGAAUCAAUAGCCGGCUUAUUCAUGCCAUGAUCUGCCUUGGGAAAGGAUUGAAGAAUUUCUGCUAUGUGUCCUCUGCAUGCUAUUUAGGAACCCAAUGACGACAAGUUUGAGGGUGUUAUCAAACCAGUUCUUAGUUUUGCAAGUAAAUGUACGGUGUCUUGUGCACACAAAGAACUCGUAGAUAGUUCUGGCAUAUCAUAUAACAACCAUCCUUUUGGAAUAUUUGAACUUCUACUUGGAAAUUGUGAUAAGUCCUGUUUUCUCUACCAUGGCCUUCCUUUUUCUCUACCAUGGCCUUCAGAAAAAGGCCAGCACCAUCGCUUCGAAAUGUAUGGCAAGCCGUAGUGGACAAAAGGUGGUUGAAAAAGAAACCAUAUGUUGAGAUUUAUAUCAUUAGGGUCCAGAAUUAUUGACAUGUGGUUGAAAUCAUAAUUGUUAGUGAUCAGUUCUUAAAGUGUUGCUACACUACAAUUUCUAAAAAACUCGGACACUAAAAAUUCAAAGAACUCAGACACCAUGAUUUGAAACUCAAGGCUAUUGGAAGAGAACUGAAGCAACAAUUACGGCUUGCCAUAGAAAUUAUGAUGUCUUGCAACAACAAACUGUCUUCAAUCUGCAUCCGUCUUUGAGAAAUUUUUUUAUCACGUUUCUUUAAAUCAGUACCCAAAACAAACAGGACAAAUGGUACGGCAGGACUAAAUGUGCCACAACUCAAUGUGCAUUUACAGCCUCUUUAACUUCCUAAAAUUAAAAGAUCAGGAAAAAUUAAUGCUAAUAGCAAAAACGCAUGAUCGUAGUGGAUUGCUCACGAACUUCUGGUAAGGAAAAGCCAUGUCAUAGUUUCUGGAUUUUUGCAGCUGUAAACAAAGACAAUUGUCAACAUUUCUAUUGUUUUCAAAUGCUCAUGACAUAUCUGUGAAGAGAUUUGCUUCUAUUCUAAUACUGUUUAGCUUUUAUCAAAGUUCGAUUGCCCAGUACUCGUUUUCUUCAGUAAGUCUUAUUAACAUUAAGACUAUAGUGCACAUGCCUUGAAUGAGAAACUGGCAUUGCAGCAAAUAGAUUUGGGCAGCUUCUGGAGCCAUUUUGUCAUUUUAUCUUUGAGAUCUCCUGGAAUCAACUUGGCCUUUUUUUCUGAAAAUGGGAUGACACAUCUUAACUUGCCAUUCUGUUUGAAACUUUUGCCUGUUUUUCUUUGCUGCCUCUAUAACGUAAUGAUUUGUUUUUGAUAAGAUUAGCAUCCUGCAUUUUUUUAACAUUUGCAAUUAACACAUCAAGAGAAGGCUGAAAACAACGAGUGCCAUUAACAAACCAUAAACAAAUUUGCAUCAUAAUGAUGUGAGCGAGGCCUCUACCGCAGGUACCCAAAUGGCAAUGCUUUGUAUCUUAUACUAAUCUUAAGUCCAGGCAACAAAGUAAGCUUUUGUGGAUCUUUAUGAAAUAUGCCAAAUACACACUUUUUGUCUUCUACAAUACUGCUUGAGGAUUUCAUGAAUUCAACAAGUUUUUCCAAUUCACCAUCUUCAGGAGGCUUGGACACAGCCUUUGGAGUUUCAUACCCACAAUAUUUCAACAGUUUUUUAUGUAGCCUGCUUGUGGAGGUUAUGUGUUCCAAAUGUCUUCUGAUGUUGUCACUAUUGGUACUACACCAGUUUUGUUAUGCUAGAAAAAAAACAAACAAAGUUGGCACAUUUUCCUUUCAAAAUGAACAAAAUUUUAUCAUUACUUACUUUCUUUUGCUUCUCUAUCACUAUCUUUGUCUUCUUGAUCAAAUUGCAAAUGGAUUGAACUGGAUAAUGUCAUUGUUGGCAAUCACAGCAGCAAUCAACAGGAAACGAGUUAAAAUGGUUGUUGGUGUCAAUUCAGGGUUGCCACUCUCGGAAUGUGGGACAUACCUUCAGCGCAUGCAUUGGAUCCCUACCUUCCCCUACUGAUUCUUCCUCAAUUAUCACUAUAAAUCAAGUGCUGUAAUGCAGUUUAGGCCACCCUUAUUCAAUAACCAAGUUCAAUAACAUACUGUUGUACUCUCAUUGGCAUCACAGCCUUAUCGUACGCCCCCUGCUAUAUUGCGGCUACGCCCAAGUUUAUAAAAGUAAAAGUUUUAGAUACAACACUCCUCCUUGAGUUGUUGUGACCUCUGUGAUACUUUUUUGAAAUAUUUUUGAGAUACAUUCCUUUCAUUCAAGGAGGGUAGCCCUUCGGCAAUGCUGAUUUUCAAGGGGUUCUCCACGUAAAAUACUUACAGAAACUCUUAUAAAAGCAAAUUACCCUAUUAACAAUUCAAUGUUUACUAUUUGAAAUAAAUCCUACUUUAAUUCCUUUAUUUGAUUUAACUUUUUACAACAAAUAUCAACAAUGAAAAGCCAAAUGGUAAUUUAAAAUAUAGAAUUUACAAUACUAUACAAAAGAAUAAUUGGAGCUGGUCAUGUUAUGCUAAAUUUUUUAAAUGCAAUUUGAUAACUUUGCUACAUUUACUGUUGGUUUUUCCUAUGCAAAAAUUAUCCUUCCCCCUUAUCGUGAAUUUCUUGAGGUUCUAAAAGGCCUGGUUUCAAAAAUUUUGAGAAUGGUCUUGUUAUCUUCCUAUGGGCCAUGAGUGUCUUUGUUAUUUCACUGUAUAAAUUCCUACAAUUUUUUAAUUAUACCCACGAAAAUUGCCAACAAAGAUUUGAAAUUAAACUCCAUUCACUUUACAACCUUUCUUUUUUAAUAUAGCUGGCAAAGGAGCUUGAAGUAAUUGUUUCAGUGACAGAGAUGACUUAUUCUGUGACAAGGCCUUCACUUUUGUCCCUUUGCAGGGUAAUGAGAAAAUUCUCUGUUGUUUUGUCCAUGUUCUAGAGUGUGAGUUUGCAGAUUUUCAAAUGUUUUAUAGAAAAUUUUGAAAUGCUAAUAAAUUGGUCGAGAGUUCAAAUAUUUGUGACUGGUGCAUUUUUUGUGAUUAAUGUGUUUAUUUCGUGAUUGGUGUAAUUUUUUUGUAAUUAAUGUGAUAACUUUGUGAUUAAUGUGAUUUUUCUGUAAUUAAUGGUUUGAAGAGGAUUGACUUUAUACUCCCACUGCAGAUGAUAUAUCAGGGCAUGUAGCAAUUGCUGCAUACAUAAUUGAUCCAAUUACAGCUUGAUAAUCCCUCACAUUUGCUUAUUUUUCUCCGUCCCUCAGUUUUUCAAACUUCUUCCCAACUUUUAUUGGCAUUGAAACUGGUUUGCAGUCGAACACGUUGAAUCUUUUCAGCAAAUUCUCAAAAUAUGCUCUUUGAUUAAUGGUGAGAGUCUUUAAAUCUCUGUUUCUUUUGAUGGACAUGCCUAAGCAGUAAUGAAUUUCUCCUUGAUCUUCCAUUUCAAAUUGAUCUUUCAAUUUCUUCUCCAACAUGUCACAACUGUUUGUUGCUAACAUAAUAUCAUCAACGUAUAAUGCAAUCAACAUUGUAUACCGAUCUCCUUUCUCAGCCUUAUAGUAGAUGCAUGGAUCGGCAUUGCUUUGAACAUAGUCAAUAGAAAAAGAAUGGUCUGGAAACUCUAUUGUUCGAAGAUCGAUAUCAUGAUUCCACUAGGUUCCAGACUCUUAGAGUGCACCAAGUUGGUCUGUUGUUGUGUAUGUGUUGACUCGAGACGAGAUAGAAAUGGAAGCUGCCGAACCCGAAAUUACUUUUGUAUCUGAACUUGAGGUUAUCGUUGAUUUUAUGGGUGAUCAAAAUUUCUUUGAUGAUAAUGAAGACUUCGAGAAAGAACUUGUUGAUAUUUCUAUUGAGGUAAGUUAAUUCUAUUUUAUUUUAAACUUCAAAUCGCUUAUGACACGUCGGCGACCCUUCUAGGCCUAUUACCAACCAACCAGUUUAUUGCACACGAUCCAGUCGAGGUGCUGUAAAAAAACAAAAACAUGUUGGGGGUGGUAAGUUUUGAGCAAAUACCUGUGUCAUGAAUAUAAAUUUUAGUUGUUGAUGGUUUAACAAACCGGACCUGGAACAUUUGGAAUCAAAUGUAGUAAACUACCUAGCCCAAAACCAAACAGCAUUGCGUUUUAGCAAGGCAGUAUACUGGCCUGUAUGAUCUUACUGUCACCUAUGAUUGCCCAGUGUUUUUUGCAAAAUUAAUACAAUGUGGCUGGGAGAGGAUAUCUCUCAUUUUCUAAAAAAAUAAUCGUUGUACAUGCUUACAACCCAAUGCACACAAACCCUAGUUGAGCAUAAUAUAAAACUAUGAGGUUAUGAUAUUGAAAUAUUAAAAAAGUAGGUAAAAUGCCAAAAUUCAAAAGCUAAAUGUGACUAUAGGGUUAAAGAUGCAGGUACACAAUUCAACUGAAUUUAAAUUCUAGCAUUUUACAUUUUAGGAUGAGCCUGCUCCUGAUCAUUCACUUAGAUGUACUGAUUGUAAGAGGGUGUACAAGACAAGAAGGGGACUGGAAAGACACACUGAGAUAUGCAACAAAAAGAAAAAUCCUGUUGAUCAGCAAAUUUUGGUCAGCCUACUCACUGAAGCUUUAAAAAAAGUUUCUCUGGAUGAAUGUUGCCCUGUAGAAAUGCAAGAAGAUGUUGCAAAAUGUAUCAUUUCUAAUGACCAUCCUCUUGUCAGUUCCAAACUGGUUGUAGAACUCUUUAGUUCACUGUGCAGUAAACUAGAUAUUGAGACAUUUUAUGUUGAAUAUAUGGCACAGGUAGUUGCUAAAGCAAAUAUAUGGCUUCCUGACUUGAAAGAAGCUACAGCAGUUCAAUUAGCCAUGCAAUAUGGUGAAAAAAUGGUUCUUUUCUUCAUUUGUUUCUUCAAAUCUUGAGCUUCAUUUCCACCUUGAAAAUUGUUUUCAAAUGGAUCAAUUUCUCUUGCAACAGAAUGUCUAUUGAGGCCAUCAUGAAACAGUCCACACCUUCACAAACAGUAAGCUUUAAUAGUUCUUGCAACAAUGAUGCUAUACUGUGAAUUCUGACGUUUCUUUUAUACUUUUUGUAAAUGUAAUGAUCAUCUGGUAAAGAAAAUCCAAAAAUAGUCACUGCGAAGUCAAGACUUUCAUCAACAUUUACUUUGAUUUUGCUAGCAAUAAAUCCUUUUUCUUUCCUUUCAAAGAUAUAACUACUAUCAUUAAGUUUUCGGUCCCACCCAUUUAACUUAAGCUUGGCCACUGAUUCAGAAAAUAAAUCGAAAAUCUUGCAUGCUCGCUUUGGCUUGCUUAAUGGCACCUCUUGUUCACGUUUUCACGUUUUUCAAUUUGAAAAAAACUUGAAUUCCUUGGUUCUGCGUCUUUUUCAAAUGAUUUUUUUGGCAAAUUCUGUGAUGGUAAACUUCCAAAUCUGACUUUCUUUCUGUCAACACCUGUAGAGAAAUUAUAACACAAAAUAAGUAACAAUAACAGCGUUCACUUAUUUACAGUUCAUUUCAGUUCAUUUAAUUUUAAAUCCUACUACAUAGAAAUUUUGUCAAAAAAAACUAUAAGCUAAACAUAACUACAGAAAAAUUAGAAAAUUUUCAUGAAGAGGUAUUCUUAAGGAAGAGGUCUCUCAGUAGCCAAAAUACUUUGAUCUUUUGGUCAAACGCUAUUGAAUUUGUCAGCUGUGGCGAAAUUUAUGCAUAAAUUGGGAGGCUAAAUGGCCCUCCCCCGUUUAGUAUGACUGGAUACAUUUUUCUCAAAAAGAAGCGCUGACAUAUGAAUACAGUACAAAAUUAAGCAGGCAACUCAGAACAUCCACUGGGCAGGGCUCGCUACGCCACUCGAAACCCAUAUUUCUGCUACGAGUCUAGAGUUUUGAAUAAUAUAUCGUUGAUUUUUGCAUACUCACUGUGUUCAAUGUCUUCUGGAGCAAAAUGCAAUUCGCAAAUAUGCAAUGAAUCUCGCGCUUUCUGCUCUUUGAACGAGGGAUCUUGCUCUCUCUUUCGUUCAAUAAUUGCAAUCCAUUUUUCUCUUAUAAUUUAUGCCUCUGCGUCUAUUGCCUUCGGAAGUUAAAAAAUCCCGAUACCUGAUUUUCUUCAGCUUGAACUACAGCCAAAAAUUGAACAGUUUGCUCCCGGCAUUACUUGAUCAUCAUGUUUUCAAGGCACAACAACAAAGAAUCUAAGGCCACAAAAGUUUUGGUGCACCCAAAGAGUCUGGGGGAACAAACUCUUAAUUGAUCAACAUGCGGCUCAGAAUCCUUUGAUCUGUGCCGACAUUCCAGACCAUUCUUUUUCUAUUGACUAUGCUUUGAACGUAUCCAGAAUCUUUCAGAUACCUAUCCAUUGUGGUAUUCCAGCAUCUUGCGCAAUGUUUCAAGCCAUAAAGACUCUUUCGAAGUCUGCAUACUUUAUCUGGAUGGUUUUAAUCAGCAUAGCCUUUUGGCUGUUCCUUAUAGAUCUUAUGCUUGAAAUCUCCAUUUAGAAAUGCAGUUUUCACGUCCAUUUGGUGGAGUUCAAGAUUCAGUUGAUUUGCAAUUGAAAAGUGUAAUAAUAGUCUUGUCCAGCUUCUUGAGAGUAGCCCUGAGCCACCAAUCUAGCUUUGUAUCGAUCCACUGUUUCAUCUGCUUCACAUUUCAUCUUGAAGACCCAUUUGCGUGUGACAACAUUCUUUCCUGGUGACUUGACUAAAAACCUUGGGUAUAAGGCACCAUGGCCUUUGUGGAUGUUGAUAAUGUGAUUCAAAAGGGACAACCAUUUCUCCUUGAUCUCUUGAAUGUUCCCCUCUGAUGAAGCUGAAUGUAUACAUGAUUUUUAUGUAUUGUAUCCAUUCCAAAACUGCCCUGUUAUUUUUUUUCUUCCCAAUUUUCUCAACCAUUUUUCCAAAAGCUACAAAAAACCAAAGAAAUAAACCCUUUUGUUAACUAAAACUUUUUGUUAUUUGGAAAUGUGAACCAAAAUGUUAUCAUUCUCAAAAUUAGAUUGGCAAAAGUUUUUGCUAAUUAUGUGAUCUAAAUAGCCAUAUAUUGUUCCUAAAUAUAUGUUCUAGGGAAUAUUAAGUUGACAAUUGUUUGACUGGUAGCAGCAAAUUAAUUUUGCUGAGCAAGUUUCCUAUUCGUAAAUGUUGUAUAAAGAUCUUGUAAACAGCCAAUAUAUUUUUCUAGACUCUAGAGUGACUCGUGUUUUGAUAAAUUAUUAUAAGAUAUUUGAUAAUAAUAUGAAAAUGUACUGACAUUUUGCAACAUGAAAAACAUCAAAAUAGUGUUGUUUAUCUUUUUUUCAGUUCUCAUGUACUUCCUUACUGGUCCAUGCCUGUCCGUUACCAAAAUUUUGUAUGAGACAUCUUCUAUCUUCUGCAAAGCUCUUUUCAAAUUUUCUAGCUCCUGUUUCCUCCACCAACUUCAUUUGACUAGAAUGAUAAGAACUUUGUUCUGUUAACCAACUUUGUUAUGUCCAUUAUUUACAUGGUAACAGGGGUGUAGAGCCUGACCCUCCUAUUCAAUUUGAAAGUAAUUCUUCAAUGUUUCUUCUGGUUUUUGUUUUUGAUAUACUUUUUGCUAAAUCACCCUUGUUCCUUUCAUAGCACUACACCUCGCAAAUAUUGGACGGACAAAAUGGCGGAUGGGUUGCAUGUAUCUAUGUGAGGUUAAACGAAGCUCUUGCUUGGGCAACUGCAACAAAUAAUGCUUUGAUUAUGACUUUUCUAUGCUGUACUUUAUAAAUGUGAAUUGAUCUCUAAAUAAAGUACGGUUCUCUGCGGAAAUUAUGUCAAGAAAAUCAAGAACACAAAACAACGAGUGAAGAGCUAGGCCAGCAUGCCUCUUCAGAUAAUGAAAAUGCAAUUUCACAAAAGUCGAUGGAUGCCUUUGCUGCUAUUGUCGAAGAGAAAUUAGCAAAUGUUGCCAGGAAAGAAUGUAUCUCUGAGCUAAAACAGAUGAUUCUUGAUCAACAACUGAAGAUCUAGAAACUUGAGGCAAAGGUCAUGGUCAUGGAAAAAUAUUUGAAAGAAUUGAAAAGGUGGAGCGGCGUUAUUUCUCUGGACCUAUCACACCAAAGAGUGAAGCUAUUGAAAAGGGCCAAAGAAUUAAUUGAAAAUGAUGAUGGCUAUGCAUUUGCUGAUGUAAACUGCCAACUAUGCAUCAAGAACAAUGGAAACUUCCUUCCUUUCCAAAAUCAGGAAAUCCAGUUUAAAAAGGAAGAAAAAAAAGGCAUACUUACGAUCUAUAUGGACUUUAUGACAUUAUCAAGUACGCCUGAAAAACACUGCUCGCUGUGGAAGCUGCCGAAAAUUCUAUGCCUGUUCAUGGUUUGUUCAUAGUUAAUUGUAGUAUAGUUUGUACCAGUUGAGUUCCUUGGGCUGGUUUUCUGCUGAGUGAUGGGGGUUAGCACGGUGCUACAAACUUAAAAUUUGCGAAGUUCCUCGCGCUGUGUGGCUUCUUGUUGCCUAGUGGAAAGCCCCUCAAUGUCACGCUGAAAUUAUAAAACACCAUAAAAACAUAUUUUUCAAGUAAUUUCUGUAUGUGUGCAAGCAUAUGAAUUAAAUUCUAUUGAUCAUUUCUGCUACAUGUUGUGGAAACACAAUUGACAAUCACAACAAUUUUGAUGAAUUUGAUCAAUUUCCCUUGCCCCAAGAGCAUGCCCACAAAAACCCCAAGAGCUAGUGCAAUAGUGCAUCGCAAUAGUGCAUCACAUAUUGAAAAGGAUGUUCGCUGGAGGAAAUUAUUACAUAGUAAUUGCAUAGAAUCUUUCUUAUCCCGAGAAGGGCAAACAGACAUUGAUUCAGAAUUCAACAUGGAACCAAUCAUUUUAAUUUCCUUAGAUGGCAGAAACACAAAUUUUGCUAGCAUCAGUGGUUUCAAUAAAAUGAUAUGAUGGCGUUUUCUUGGAUAACCAACGUAAGCAGAUUCAAUCAGGCAAUAAUGGGCUGAAUGUUUCAUCGCUUAUCUCUGGUUAACAACCGAAUUUUAAAAAUGGGGAUGACAAAAUUGUAGAUAUACUUCUUUGCUAUGCAUAAUUGUAUGAAGCACUUCAAUAAUGACAAUUUUCGCGUUCAGCAUUAACUUUGUGUAGCACCGGUGUCAUAUGUGUUUCGGUAACCUUAUGCAUUUCGGUCCCGGUACACAAACCCAUGACAAUUUUGCUUAUACAAAAAUGUACCAAAGCUUUUAAAAAACAGGGAACCGAAACGAAUGGUGGAUAUAAGCAUUCGAACCGGUCUGGGAACACAAAUGUUCUGGUUCACACUGUUCAGAAUGUAAAGAACAAUGGAACUAUUUCUAACAAGAGGCUACUAACAAGAAGCAGUGCUGUGAUUUCCCUUGUUGAGUUUAUGCAAAAAAGUAAAACAUUAAUGGCAACUCCAAAGUUUUCUUGAUUAAAAAGUGUGAAAUUUUAAACUCAAAAAGCAUUGUGCUCAAUUUGUUAUUUGUAAAGUGUCGUAAUAUCGCACUACGCUAAAAUCACAUGAUAUGAAACACAUUGCGUUUCACAAUGUUACAUAUUUGCAUAGGGUACCAAAACGCAUUUUUCCCCACACCUUUGUAUAGGAGGUGCGAGCGUUACUGUUGCAGCUAAUUCAGUGCUACUUUCUCUUCAGAUUUCUAUUGUUUUUGACGCUAUACCAUUGCCUGGUUGAAAUUGUAAACAAACAGUCUGAUUGGCUCAAAACAUUUUUCAUCCUUGUUGGGCUUAUAAGGUACCUGGACAGUGGUCGUGUCACAUUCAAUGUGAACUCCUGAAACACAAGAGAGUAUUUUAUUGUCUCUAGUUACUUGUUUCCAUUGAGAAAUGUAUGUUGCAACCCUGCCAGCUUUAAAGUUUGUACAUUCGCAAGUAGAACAUUUGGUUAACAUUGAUAAAAAUGAGAAAAAUUCACAUACAGUUGAAGGAUUUGUUAAUGUCUUCAGGACUGUUUUUCUUGACGGUGUGGUGUUUGGUUUUGAUAGUUCUGGGGGUAUUGUUUCUUGUAGGGCUUUCUCCUGAACGGAUGAUGUUGAUGGCCUGACCAUAAAAAAUCUUGCUGUUGAAAGAGUCGGAUGUUUAUCAAUGCCCUGUUAGGGUAUGAGCAGGUAAAAUGUCCUGUGUUGAGGGUGAAAAAUGAAAAUUUGAUCUAGGGUUUGGUUGGAAAAUUCUACCAAUCUUUUUUGCUUCUUCAACGUCUUUAACAAUUUUACCAAAAUCGUCACCAAAGACAAAAGGGCUGUGCGGUAAAUCUGAGAGAUUGAUACAGGGAGACUGGUAGUCUUCUUUUAGGGCUAGUUUCAUAGAAUUACGCCUUAGGGUUGAAAUUUUUGCUGUGGCAUUACCAAGGAGUGCAAGAGCAUCAACUGAACUCACAACGUAUUUGUCAAUGUUUGCUCUAUCAGGAUCCUUUGAGCUAAAGAGAUAGUGAAUGUUUUGUAAAACAAUAAUGGCAACUUUUUAAAACGUUUGCUGCAAGUUAGCCAAGUGAAGAUUGUGUUGUUUUUUAUCCACAGACAAAUUUGAACAUGCCUCUUUGUUUACCUUAACAGAAAAAAAGGUUUAUGCAGUUCUCAGGGCGGUUAUAUCUCUCAAGUAUAGCAGAAAGUUUGUCUGAAGAAAGAGCCUUACCCCAACGUGAAUUCCAUAAGAGGCUAGUUUGAGGUCGACAUUAUCAGCAACAUCUGAUGGAGUUUCAAGUGCUUGGGCAAGCUCAUCAAGUAGUGACUCUUCAUCGAUAGUUGACUUCCUUCGAUUUUCAUUCGAGAAAAGGUACUUAACCGCAUCAGAAAGGGCGAUGGCACAUUCAUCAUCACGUGGUGCAGGCAAACAUAGCUCAUCAUCAUCCUCAUCACCAUUUCCAAAGAAACAGACUUUCUUGGAAUGUGUAGAUGAUACCGCAAAAUUUAGAGAGCUUUUACCCCUAGAUAGUCCUGUGGAAAAGGGAAAAUGAUCUCUAUUCCAGGUGGGCUCAGUCUUGGAAACUCCAAUGGAGGAAGAUUGUUCUUCAUAUCCGGUAGACAAUUGUUCUAAUUGCCUGGUAGAUAAAAGGUCAGUUUGUCCCGUGAACUCAAAUUUACGCUCGUUGGGUGAUUGAAAAACUAAAGAAAUGGUUUCAUCUGGAUCCGUUGCAAGCUUAAUGAGUAUUUUUGAGAUGCAGCUCAAUUUCGUCAAUAAUUAGAAGAGGAGAAAGAAGAGGAGAUUAAGAGCUUGCAGAGAAGAACCUGGAGAUAGAUGAAUUUGUAGAAAAUCUAGACAUAGCCAUCAAUGAAAAAUUAUGUGCACAAUAUAUGAAAUCUCAUUACAAAACCGAAUUAAGAAAGAAUAUGUUGAAAAUAGCAAAGAUAUAUUUAAUUAAAAGACUGAUGAUUUGAAAAAAAGAAUAACUGAAUUGGAGAAUGAGAAGUUGGAAAGAUUAAAUGUUCUUUGAAGGGACAUGAGAUUUAUUUUUAUGAAAAUGGGAAAUUUGUUGAUAAGAUUCGUAUUCUGUAUGAAGACCUGCUUUGUUUAGAUGUUAGCACGAAUAAUGUUGGGAUGUUAUUAGUAAAUGUUUGAAAGUUGUUGGAGUCAAUGUCCAUAAUCUGCCAAAGUCCACAUUUGAUAAGUAUAUGCUCUAUGAGGCAAGGGCAUUGGCACAGCUUCAUGUUUUUGAUGGAUUGAAAGAAAACUGGAGCACAGAGAACAGGACUUUGCUUUCUGAUGGAACUUCAAAGAAAGGCAGAUCAUUUAUAACAUAUGAUAUUGUCAAAGAUCAUUGAGUAUAUUUAAUAACUGGCCCAAGGGAAAUUGCAAGUGGAGAUUCUGCUACACAGAUAAAAGUUUUGCAAGAUGUUCUUGGUGAUGUUUAUUUGAUGUUCGAUGUUGGGUGGGGUGGGGGUGGAGGGGGAUUGUUGGUUGGGUCAACAAAAUUAUAAAAAGUAUCAACAAUGUGAUGUCACAUCGUUGUGCUCCUCAAAAAAAGUUUAACGAUUUGUUCCCUUGUUUCAGAAAGAUGUUUUGCCAAGAGAGAUGUUUUGUUGAGGGUUGGGAGUCUCUGACUAAUGCGGAAAAAGCAAAGUUAAGUGGAGUGAACGAGUUUUUUUGUGGGUGACACUAGCUUGUAGCACUGGCAGCUCAAGCAGAGGCUUGUUGCAAAAUCUGGGAUUCCUUGUGUUGGAAGGACAAGAAAGUUGGUUUUUUGUUACAGCAACGGUUAAUCAAGGGCAUACAGGUUGAUCCAAACUGUUUGUGAAUCAGUGCAAGAGAAAGCAUGCGAAAAAACGAUCUUGAAGUUACGUCCUUUCUAACAGUAUGCAGAGCUUUAGGUAUGAUAGAUAAAUUAUUAAUCUGGUAAAGAAAUUUCAAAAGAUGGACAUAUUUUAGAUAUGAAUGUUUUUUACCAAGGAUAAUUCGAAAAAAUUUAUUUUGUGGGGGUCAGAUGCAUCUGAAUUUAUGUCUGGUGAUAUGAAAUUAUUUGGAGAUGACAUUUUGGUCAACAAAGAUUGUGUAUUUGAACAUCUUUUUUGCCUAGAGAUGAGGAACAUGAGCAGACGACAAAGCAAUGUUUAGAAAUAUUUUUUUUGUGGGUUUGCAGCUGUGACAAAGAUGUUACUGGGGGAUCAUUUAUGGGAAUUUUGGGGUAAAGAGAAAGAAUAAGCUUUUAGAAAAGAAACAAAGAAUGUAGAGAAAAGUAAUAUUAAAUCAGAAAGAGAUUUUGGAAUGCCAGACAACCGAAUAAAGUUAAAAACCAAAAGCAAGUGAUUUUGCAAUUGAAAGCAUUAUUAUGUUUAAAGCUAACAAGACAGGGGAUUAGAGGGAGAAAUUAUCAGAGGAGAAACGAAACAAGUUCCUAGAAAUUGCAAGGAAAUCUAAAAGGUGCAAAGAGAUAAAUACUUGGCAUCAAACAACAAAUAAUUAUGCAAAGAGUACAAAAAAUGUCUGAAAAACUAGAAAUGAAGGAGCAGAAGGAAAUUGUAAAGGAAAGUCUUCAUUCUAAAAUUGAACAGUUGGGUCUAUUGAAAACAGAGGAGAAAGUCAAGGGCUGGGCUGGGUAAAAAUGUUUGGAUUGGGGAAAAGAGGGAAGCUCUCUGGUUGCACAUACGGUUUAGAAAUAAAGUCUUAGAAAAUAAACAUAGUGACAAGAGUAUUUUUCAAUUAACCAGUAAAGGGAUUUCUAAUAGUCUAGAAGUUUUAUAUAAGAAUCUUUGAAUAUAUAAUAAAAUAGGCUGAGGACGAUAAGGAAUUGCUGAGGAAAAAAGAUCAAAUUUGUGAGCCAGGCACAUCAAAGGUUUUUAUUUUAGAAAAAUCAAGUUUUUGGCAGAGAAGGACAGGUUAUUAAAGAAAGCAUCAGAAGAUUCAAGAGAAACUCCAAAAGGAAAACAGGGACAGCCAAAAUAGAAAACAGCGACAAGAAAAGAGUUGUAUUCAUCAGCCAGAACACCAGUGAUAUCAUGUGCUGAGUAUCUGAUUGGGAAGAAAGUUUCUCAGAGAUUUGUUGAUUGUGAUGGUGAAAGGUGGUACAAUGGUACAGUUGUUAAUAGUGGUAUUGGAAGAAAUCAAUUAUAUAUGAUGAUUACCAAAAUGGAUGGGUCCGGAUUGUGUCCUAAUUUUAACAACACAUCGACAUAACUUCACAUCUUUGAUUUUUUGUGACUUUUUGCAUUGCACGAUUGUGAAACGAGUCAAGUGUGACAAGUAUAGGUUUCCAAAUGUCCAAGUGACGCAGAGUGAUUGGAAAAAAGACCAUUUCAUGGCAUUACACCUUGAAUGGCAUUUCAGAGAACAGAUGGAUGACAAGUGAGCUUUUUGCAUUUUGAUUUAACUUGUUUGCCAAAAAGACACACAGCAUCCACUUCUGCUAGUUUAUAAUGGCUAUCUCACUCAUGUGAAUGGCAGAGGAGAAUGGCUAACCGGAGCCAACACGGGAAAACAGAGGUCAUGUUAAUUAGCAACACAAGAGAUAUUACAACAUAUUGUAAGGACAACAUCAGACUGAUUCAAGUGACCAGGUUCAAGUACCUGGGAGUGACACUGAGAGUGGAGGUUCAAUGGCAGCAGCGAGGUCAAGAGGUAGCAGCAGCAAAAAACAAGUGGAUAGAAUUAGAAAGAGUUAUGGGAGAAAGAUGCAUAUCAAGAAAAUUAAAAGUUAGGAUUUACAAAACCAUCAACAAACCUGUUUUCAUAUAUGGAGCAGAACUAUAGAUCAUAAGAAACAAGGAAGAGAAGCUAUUGUAAACCAUAGAAAUGAAAAUGCUGCGAGGGAUCAGGUUUUUGACCUUAAGGAAAGGCAGAGAAAUGAAAGUAUAAGAAGAGACUGCGGAGUGGAGAAUAUAACAACAGUAAUAAGAAGAUCAAGAUUGAGCUUUUUUGGAAAUGAUUUGAGAAUACAACCUGGGGAUAAGAGAACUUUGAACCUAGAGGUGGAGAGAAGAAGGCCAAGAGUAAGACCAGUAAGAAAACGGAUGGACAACAUCAAGAAGGGCAUGGAAGCACUAGGAAUAAGAGAAGUGGAUGUACUGGACAGAGAACGAUGAAAGAGUGAGAUCUAGCUCUUUAAUUUUCAACAUUAAAGGUAACCAAAAAGAAAACCCUCUUAGAGUCAAAUGUAGCAAUUCUACAAAUUACCCCUGGAAUUUUAAAAGAAUCUGUUUUUCCUAAACUUUAUUAUCAUAUCUUGUAACCAGGAAAAAUCAUUUUUCUUUUUUCUAUUUUUGUUAUUUAUAUUUUGUAGAAGCAAAAGAAUAGCUACCAACACAGUUUUUUAAGGAUUUGCUUGUUUAAUAGAAACUGCACAGGAAGCUGUUAUAACGAGCAGUUGUCAAAGCAUUCACUGUGAAAAAUGCUUAUCAGAUGUUUUUAAUGGGACUUGCCCACAAUGCCAAGAACAAUUGAAAUAGUAGAAUCAAGGAAUAUAGAAUCCAUUUUCAAGAACUAUUUGGGUAAACAUUUUGGCAUAUGCGAGAUAAUCCUGGAUAACAAGACAAAAUAUGACUUUAGUUUUGGGAGAAAAAAGAUCCAGAAAUGUAAUGCAAUUGCAAGAAAGAAAUACAAAGACUUGACAAAUUUUAUUUUUACUUGUUUUUUAUUUUCGAUACUUAAAUCGUCCUCCAGGGCAAUUUUCUCCACAUAUCUGUCCAUAUCGUUGUGUUUGGUUCCACCCAUUGCUGGAUGAUCGACAGCAAUGUAGCUUGGUCCCUUGCAGGGACUGGUACCAGGAACCCUUUCUUCGUCUCUGCCUUGUGUCCACCCAGUAUCCACUGCUUUCUCACAAGGUGGCCACGCUCUGACUUUUGUAGCGCAAACAGACUUUCAUAGAUUUCAACAAUGUGUCCCUUUUCCCCCUAGACGCUCUUGGUGGUUCACAAAAUGCUGGACAGCCAAGACUCAACAAAACUUAUUCCAGUCAAGAAUGGUGUGCUCUCCGUUUAUUUUCAUCUCUCUCAUUGUCUGCAAAACAGACAGCCCCCUCGGGCAGCCCACACUUGUAGCCCACAGGUAUGUCAAGAUGACAACCUGCCACAGCUUUGAAUGCAAGCGCUUGAAAAAGUCGCUUUUUCGCACGUUUAUCGUUUUUCUACAACUUGGACAUCUCCUAGUAACGCCAUUGAUGUGGCGCCUGUACAGACCUUCUCCACAAGGUACCUUGCAUACAUCGCGGUCUUGUUCUCUCGAAAGCAGACCAUGUUGCCUCGUCUUUGUCUUCAAAUUGACACCCAAUUGCCAUCAAGUUGAAGGCCUCGAAUUCUUGCAUUGUUCUUAAUGCCAAAAACUCCCACCUUUGAUAAUGCCAAAAAGUAGCCAAUCUUUACUUUUGCACUUGUUUUUGCAACAUUUUCCAAGAAGACCUCUCUUGGAGACACCAAGGGUUAUGUACAAAUCAAAUCUCAGAAAAUUACACAAUACCCCUUUGCGACAUCUGCGAGCUUGAUUUGCAUAAGAAGACUGGGGCAAGAAAUUGGGUGUAAAAGUUGCCAAGGCCUACGUUUACAUAUGGAAAGUGCGUUUACUGGUGACUUCAGACUGCUCAAAUUGACAUUAAAAGCAUUCAAAGUUUGUGGAUAUUCCUUCUUGCCCAUCUUCUGUGGUCUCUUACACCUGCGGACAUGGUGUUGUUCAGCUUUGUGCUAUCUAAUCGCUUUAUGUGUGAAUCACCAAGCAGGAGGAUCAUUCAACCAUUUGCUGCAAAAAUUUCUGAAUAUAAAGAAACAUCAAGAAAACUUGGAAAACGAUUAUUGAACUCCAGAACAAAAGAUCAAAAUCUAGCAAUAUUGAUUGUAUCAAAAAUUCAGGCAAUGCAAUUAUUAACAAAAGAGAAAUCUCAAAUACAAUAAAUCGAUUUUUCGGUACAAUUGGUAAAAACUUAGCCAGGAAAAUCGAAGCUGUUCCUAACCCUCGUCUAUCUGGGAACUUCAAAAAUACUAAUGACAAUGUCAAGUUCAAGUUUAGGAUGAUAGAAGUGCAGGAAAUUAGGAGUGCGAUUUCCAAAACCAAGUCUUCAAAGAGCUUUGGGAAUGACAAUAUCUCCUGCUAUUUUCUAAAACUGCCCUUACCUUACAUUGAGAAUGCUUUGGCCUGUUUGUUCAAUACAUCACUUUAAACUAAAAAUUUUCCAGAUUCAUGGAUAUUGGCCAGAGUUACCCCAAUUUUUAAAGAGGGGGAAAAACUGAUAAGUCUAAAUACCGCCCUAUAUCAGUUUUACCUGUCAUCUCAAGGCUCUCCGAAAGACUUGUGACUAACCAAUUGUACCAGCACAUGAGUGAUAAUGGAUAUUUCUCCCCACAACAGUCUGGCUUUUGUAAACUUCACUCUACCGUAACAUGUUUGCUUAAAAACAUUGAUGACUGGUAUAAAGAACUAGAUUUAGGAAAGCUAGUGGGAUUAGUUUUUAUUGACCUGAAAAUGGCAUUUGACACGGUUGAUCAUGGCAUACUAUGCAAGAAGCUAGAGUUUUAUGGUAUUCAGCAACAGCCGUUAGAAUAAUUUAAAUCAUACCUUUACAACUGGAAGCAAUAUUCUAGGGUAGACCAUGUCGAUUCAUCAAUUAUGGAAACGAAUGUUUAUGUACCCCAAGGCUCAUGUCUUGGACCCCUCUUAUUCCUCAUUUAUAUAAACGAACUCCCACAAGCUGUCCAAAAAACAAAUGUGUCCAUUUAUGCAGCUAACACGAGUCCUUUCCAUAAAUGGCAUGUUAUCACUCAGCUGAAUGAGGCCAUCAAUAAUGACUUUGCACACGUUGAAAAAUGGGUCAGGGGCAAAAAUUUCACUGAAUGUAAUGAAAACCCAUGCCCCGCUUAUUUCCACCAAACCUAAGCAUAAGUCACUAAAGAAUCAAGACGAAUCUUUAAAGCUAAAAAUUCAGGACAAUGAGCUGGAUUUUGUUCAAAAAACCAAAUAUCUUGGAAUACAAAUCGAUAACACAUUAGAUUGGAAGGAGCACACUUAAAAGAUUUCUUCCAAGUUCUCCAGAGGAAUUGGCUUUUUGAAGCUUGCCAAAUCCUUUCUGCUAAAAGAAACUCUGAAGACUAUGUACACAAGUUUUGUGGAGCCACACUUUUACUACUGUUGUUUGAUGUGGGGCUGUUGUGGUCUUACCAAAAUCAAACGCUUACAAAAACUACAAAACCGGGCUGCUAGUAUUGUAUCUGGCAGCCGUUUUGCCACUCAUAAAAGAGAAAGAACUAUAGACGAGCUAAUCGCUAAUGAGUCAAAGAUCAUGGUCUUCAAAUCGAUUCGUGGAAUGGCUCCACAAUACAUGUGUGAUCUUUUCAAAGAAAAAACCAAGUUAAAUUUCUGGGAAUCUUAGGAAUACAUUAACUGACAUAAGGCUACAAAGGAAAAACUCCAAAAAUUGACAGAAAUGCUUCUUGUUUAGAGGUGCUCGGUCUUGGAAUGGCCUUUAAGCUGAGUGUAAACAGGCAUCUUCCUUGACCAACUUAAACAAAAUCUUGCGAAAAUGUAAAUAGGUGUAAUUGUAGAUUAUAUAUUGGAAAUUACCAUUUCGCCUUUCACUAUAGAUAUUUGUAGUAAAAUUAAAUUCAAGUUGAAAUAGGAUUAGACUGUAAAUAUUGAAUUGUCAUUAGGAUAAUUUGUUUUUUAUAAUAAUUUCUGUAAGUAUUUUUAGUGGAGGGCCCCUUUAAAAUCAGCAUUGCUGAAGGGCUACCCUCCUUAAACAUUUGAAAUGAAAUGAAAUAAAUGAAAUGAAUCUGUGAUCGUUUAUUCAAAAAUUGUUCUUACAAUUUGCUUCCUUGUUUCAAGGAAGGUUAAAAAAAAUCUUUGGAUUUAAAUCAAAGUUUCAGUUCAGUUCUAUAAACCCAACAAUCUACACUCAACCGAUAAUCCAACAAUCACCACCCCCCUCCCCCCCCUCCCCCCCUCCCUCAUGACCACACGACCAGCUUUUUUCAUAUACGAUGUGGUUUAUUAAGUAUGUUGCUUCAAAUUUUCUUUUUUGGAUAUUAAUUUUGUGGCCACCUCAAUUAUAUCCAUAUCAUUCGUUCUGUCUUUGUGAUUCUGAAGCACUACUAGAUUGUUAAAUCUUUUCUGACUCAUUCUUGGAUGAGCCAGUUUUUUUUAAUUAUCUAGCGACCGAAAAGGAUCACUAUCCUGUUGCACUUGUUCCCCGAUUUAUGCAAAUCAGUUACCACUGGAGAGAGUACGUCCUUUACCAGCAUUUAUUCAUGUGGAGUCUAAAUUCACAGGACAGUUGUUGUUAAAGUUGAAAGGAGGUUUAGUACCUCAGAAGGCGUAUGUAUGCAUAUUUGUUUGGGCAUCUACACAAAGGGGUCAUUUCGAAUUAACAAACAAUGUGACAGCAGACGAGUUUUUUCAAGCCUUCAAAAGAGUGUACAACAAAAGGGGUCUUUGCAACACAAUGUGUUAAGAUAAUCAAUCUACUUUCAAGAGAGCAAAUAAAGAUUUGAAAUGGGUUGUGGACAAAAAGUGGUAAAACAAGGAAGAAGAUCGAUGGUUAGAGAGUAGACACAGAUUUAGUAAAUAGAGGAAUAAAGUAGAAGUUUAUUACAUAGCAAAGUCCACAUCGAGGAAAAAUUAUGUUGCUCGCUUAAAGAGCCACGAUAACUUUGAUAUACCAGGAGAAGGCAUCAAAUCUAAUAUUGAAGAUGUUGAUGACAAUGAUUUUGAGUCGCUUGAACAGGACAUGACUGGUUCUGCAGAGGCGGAUCUAGGGGGGUGCUAUGGGUGCUUGAGCACCGGUCAGAAUUUUCGGAGAUAUAACAUUCAAUGCAUUUUCUCUAAUCUCUGAAAAACGUCUUGAAUCCUUUUAGAUGAUGUAAAUGCAUUUUCCAGUAAACUGAUGACAUACGGUCAUGCGUUAGUUAGCAUAACCUGUAUCUGCUUUAAACUAUAAAUAGCUAGAAAUUUCAUGCACCCCUAUCAAUCAAAACAAGGCUUCAACCAAUCCGUUUGCCAAAUUUCGGCUCAUCUGAGCACCCCUAUCAAUCAUUCAAUAUACACUGAUGCAUACUGUCACUGAAACGACUAAACCUGUUCGUGUAGCAGCGAUGGCGGACAUAAAAUCGUUGCUGUUGCAGGUGUUCUCGGUAAUUGGUUGCCAGUCGACUGAAGAAAUUGAAACGAAAAACGAGCUUUUGAGUAUUCAGUCAAUCGUGAGAAAAGUUUUUGAUAAGAGCAUGGUGGAUGGUGUUACAAUUAAUUCGAUACCCAUUUCUUGCCAAAUGCAGAUGGCCCCAAAAACAUACUACU